UUUUAUAUUGUAGAUAACAAGUACAUACCACGAUUCAUUUGGUGUUUUUAACUGCCAAUAUUUUGACUCAGUUUCACACCAAAUU
Long non-coding RNA from Maniola jurtina (meadow brown), 85 nucleotides. RefSeq lists it as uncharacterized. The record is from RefSeq and is a predicted model, not a curated record. Lineage: Eukaryota; Metazoa; Arthropoda; Insecta; Lepidoptera; Nymphalidae. The transcript is spliced from 3 exons.